Molecule: long non-coding RNA, 806 nt
Filed under: Vulpes vulpes (red fox)
Lineage: Eukaryota; Metazoa; Chordata; Mammalia; Carnivora; Canidae
Description: lncRNA (ENSVVUG00000027744.1)
Source: RNAcentral
UUGUGUUCUCCAUAUUUUUAUAAUGACAGUCUACUGGGAAUUGUGUCCAGAAGCAGCAGCACAUUAUUGAAUAUUUUCUUUCCCAUCUGUCUUGCCUCCAUCUUCAAUCAAUCAAUCAAUCAAAGAAAGGAAGAAAGGAAGGACGGAAGGAAGGAAGGAAGGAGAAGGAAAGAAAGANUCUUGCCUCCAUCUUCAAUCAAUCAAUCAAUCAAAGAAAGGAAGAAAGGAAGGAAGGAGAAGGAAAGAAAGAAAAGAAAGAAAGAAAGAAGAAAGGACGGAAGGAAGGAAACAUUCCUUAUGUUACUAAAGAAAUGGAGGAUUCUAUUUCCUGAAAUACCUAGAGUAUUUGACUUUCUGAAUUGCUUUAGCCAAUGGAAUACAACAGAAGAAAUGUGUGAUUUUGACCCUCAAUUUCAAGAAGAUUUAUAUUCUUUCUUUAUUUUGGAGCCCCACUACCACAGUGACUAUUCUGGGCCAAUGUAAUGGAAGGUGAGAGCCUAUGGGGAACAGAUUUAAGAGCCUUCAGUAACUGUCUUCUCUAGACCAACUAGUUCCCUUCAACUUGGAAAUUGGUUAAAUAUGGAGGAUUUGAAGAGAGUAGUUAAUAUAAGAGAUUUGAAGUGCUCUCUGCUAAAUUCAAAAUUAUGCCUUAUCAUGGAGUUUGUUCAUGCAAUUUGAAACCUAUCCCUUCAGAUGAUGCUGCAAGAGACAAAAAAUCCGGGAUGCCUAAACAACUGUGUGUGUUUGUGUAUGUGUGUAUGUGUGCGUGCACAUGUGUAGUAAUAUUCUUAGAUACUUACAGUCAC